GCCUACGGCCAUGCCACCCUGAACAAGCCUGAUCCCAUCUGAUCUCAGAAGCUAGGCAGGGUUGGGCAUGGUUAGUACUUGGAUGGGAGACCACCUACGAAGACCAGAUACUGUAGGCG
RNAcentral lists this ribosomal RNA (119 nucleotides) under Pteropus alecto (black flying fox). Lineage: Eukaryota; Metazoa; Chordata; Mammalia; Chiroptera; Pteropodidae. The record is from RNAcentral.